Arvicanthis niloticus (Nile rat) is the source of this 138-nucleotide small nucleolar RNA. RefSeq annotates it as small nucleolar RNA SNORA17. The record is from RefSeq and is a predicted model, not a curated record. Lineage: Eukaryota; Metazoa; Chordata; Mammalia; Rodentia; Muridae.
CCUGCCCAUAAAGGUGUUACACAUAUGGCUGCUGUGGCACAUGUGUGUGUCAACAGAUGGCAGAGAGGACAGAUGCUAUGUCUACACCCAGUGUUCUGACCUACUUAUGAACAUCUGAAUAAUUAGUAGCCUAAGAUU